RNAcentral lists this ribosomal RNA (445 nucleotides) under uncultured bacterium. Its description in RNAcentral is "SSU rRNA". It matches the Rfam family "Bacterial small subunit ribosomal RNA", at positions 26 to 518 of the family's 1533-position model. The record is from RNAcentral.
AGAGCGAACGCUGGCGGCAGGCCUAACACAUGCAAGUCGAGCGCCCGUAGCAAUACGGGAGCGGCAGACGGGAUAGUAACACGUGGGAACGCGCCCUUCGGUUCGGAAUAACUCAGGGAAACUUGAGCUAAUACCGGAUACGCCCUUACGGGGAAAGAUUUAUUGCCGAAGGAACGGCCCGCGUCCGAUUAGCUAGUUGGUGAGGUAAUGGCUCACCAAGGCGACGAUCGGUAGCUGGUCUGAGAGGAUGACCAGCAUCACUGGGACUGAGACACGGCCCAGACUCCUACGGGAGGCAGCAGUGGGGAAUAUUGGACAAUGGGCGCAAGCCUGAUCCAGCCAUGCCGCGUGGAUGAUGAGGCCUUAGGGUUGUAAAGUCCUUUUAAGGGAAGAUAAUGACGGUACCCGUAGAAUAAGCCCCGGCUAACUUCGUGCCAGCAGCCGC